Felis catus (domestic cat) is the source of this 3783-nucleotide long non-coding RNA. RefSeq lists it as uncharacterized. The transcript has 6 exons. The record is from RefSeq and is a predicted model, not a curated record. NCBI's taxonomy places the organism in Eukaryota, Metazoa, Chordata, Mammalia, Carnivora, Felidae.
CCGUUUAUUAAAAACUGGAGCAUAACCAGUUCUAAAACGAUCCCUGCCUUCUUGUAUUACGUCUGCCCUACCCCGAUGCUUGGGAAAUCGUUUGUUCCGUGCUUCUCACGAGGAGAUGCCGGAUUUUCAGAGCUUGAAUAUGUCCUGCACCAGGGGAGAAGUAGCUUCGUGUGCCCCCAACCCCUCCUUCCUUUUGAACAGGAAUUCUAACUGCAGUUCAAACAAUAUUUCCUCCCCUUUAGAGACCACCUGGUUCGAACGGUGAAGACUUUGGUGAACGAGCCUGGAGCAGUGAAUGGAAUGCUAUGGGUGUGCUCACAGUACCGUGAAGUGGUGCCGUGGUGCCGGGAGAGGUGUGCACAGACCAGCUGGGUCACCACAGUCAAAGGUGGCUCUCGGCGAAGGAGAGAUGCUCACAGGAUGCGGUCCUACCCAUUUAUUCAUUCGCUGAGCCACGCAGCCAGCCUGCCAUUGGAUGUAUAUGCAUCAAGUAUUCGCUAGGCUGCUUGUGAAAGGGAUGCAAAGGCCAAUGAAGCAAGGCCUCAGGAAGCCCAGAGACUGCCCAAGCUAUGCACCGUCACAACACGAAAACACCUGUCAGAACCAAGAGAAUUCUAAGAAGACAUAAAGAUUAGGUAUAAUGUGGUAUCCUAGACAGAUCCUGGAACAGAAAAAGGCCAUUUGGUAAAAGCCCCAAGCUGGAAACUACCCUAAUGUCCUCCAAUGGAUGACUGAUUCAACGCACCAUGGUGCCUCCAUACUGUGGAAUACCACUCAGCAAUAAAAAAGAACUAACGAUUGAUACAUGCAACAACCUGGAUGGAUCUCAGGGAAAUUAUGCUGAGUGGAAAAAGUCAAUCUCAUGCAUGUAAGUGCUGCAUAUGAUUCUAUUUAUAUAAUGCUCCUGAAAUAAAAUUAUUACAUAGAUGGACAACAGACUAAUGGUUACAAAGGGUUAGGGAUGGGAGGUGGAUUCAACGGAGGUAUACAAGUGGUGAUGAUAUAGUUUUGUAUCUUGACUGUGGUGGUACUUACGUGCAGUUAACAUGAUAAAAAUUACGUACAAUUACAUACAUACACACAAGUGAGUACAUGUCUAAUGGAUAAAAUCUAACUGAUAUGGUCUAUGGAAUGUACCAUUGUCACCUAGUUUUGAUAUUGUGCUAUAAUUAUGCAAAAUGUUAACUUUGGGAAAGGCUGGGUGAGCAGGCACACAUUCAUGAAUCUAUAAAUAUUUCAUAAUACAAGUUUUUUUUAAAACAUACAACUCAGCUGUUUUUAAUGGAAUGUCUGCAUUAUUCUUUGUUUUAAAAAUCCAUGUGACUAGACAAACCAUAAAUUUCACGAGACACGUCUGCCUAAUGUCAGUUCCUAGAUUAAAGUUUUAAUAACUCUCAUUCACAAAGCAUAAAUAAAGCAAGAGAACUUAACACUCACAUUUUGCUCUCAAGAAUCAUGUAUCCUUCACCCUGACUGUCCUACCAAAGCGGUGACAUCUGUAAACUGGUAACGUUAAGAUUUCUGGGGCACCCUGGGCUCAGGAUCCCAGCAUAAGUCACCCAACCUCAAUUUCUCCUUAAAUAGAGUUUUUAAAAUAGUAAUAGUUUAAAUGUUUUGAGCACUAAACUACUGAACAGAAGGUAUGACGAGGACUCACGAGAAAUGAGAAAAUAGGGUCUUGGCUCGUACGGCACACUGAAAGGAGAAAUAAUGUCCACUUAAGCUUUUUAAGCCCUUGGAAAUUUAUCCCGGAGACAGUAAGAAAAAAAAUCGUGGUAGAAUAUUUCAAAUAUAGAUAUUCAGUCUGAUUUGAGUAUUUGUUGAACACUUACCUCGGGCACCUGUUGUGUGACUGACAAGCUGAAGCUCAAGGCUUACCGAGGAGCCUGUGGCUUUGGAAUUCGUGACAAUAACACCGCCAGUGUGACUCCUACUGCUACUAAGUGCAACAUCCUUAGGUACUGGGUUGAGCACUCUACAAACAUCAUCUCAUUUAAUCUCCACGAGGACUUAGUGACAUGGCAUUAUUAUUAUCCAGAUUUUAAAGAUGAAGAAAUUGAGAACAGAGAUGGUGAGAUACUUUCCAAGGUCAACCAACUAGAAAAUGUCAGAAUCCAGAUUGGAAUCGAGGUCACCUGGUUUCAAAAUUCGUGCUUUAACCACUAAUCCCUGUGUCUUCCCUAAGCCUCCUGCUUUAAUUCUUUUUUUUUUUUCCCCUCUGGUCUUUUCUAGAGGCCUCAGUGGCUCUCUACCAGACCUCAGGGCUUGGGCAUUUCCUUGACUUCUUGUUUGUUCUGUUCUGCCUGCUUCCCUCUUCCCGCUCCCCAGAUCCCAUGCGGAGGAUGGACCAGAGCCAAAAGAGCAGCUAGUGAUCUUCUGUCAGAGCUUUGGACAGUGAUGGAAGGAAGCCUGUGUGCGCGCAAGUGUGUGCGUGCACGUGUGUGUGUAUGUGUGUGUGUGUGUGUGUGUGUGUGUAAGAGAAUUGUUUUCAGUUAUAACAGUGAAACCAGUUGGUAAAGUAUAUGAGCCUCUUUUCCGGGCCUUUUUAACCAAAACAUUUUCUCCUUUGUGUUGUGAGGCCUGACACUAGGCACAAAGACUUCUCCGGAUAGACUCUUCUACUCCUCCACACUCUCCUGGGGUCCUUCAUCCAGGCUGGCUUUUGCAGAAACAAGACUACCACCUUGUUCCAGUUAUCUUUCGCUGUGUAACAAGCACCUCUAGACUUAGACAGUAUAAAUUGUUAUUAUCUCUCAGGGCUCUGUGGGUUGCCGGGGCUGAGCUGAGCAGUCCCUGCUCAGGGUCUUUCAUACGGCUGCACUUAGCUAGUGGCUGGGUCUGGGGUUGCCCGAAGGCUCCAUUCCUGGAGCCGAAAUUCAAAUGGCUGGAGAAUCUGGGGCUGGUUGGGCUUCUCUCCACGUGGCCUGUCCACCUAGCUCGCUGUCACGCAGCAUGGCAGUCUCAGAGGAACUAGCAGCCAUGCCCUGGGGCUGGCUCGUACCAACUUGUACGAGGCGAUUCUGUGUAUUUCUUUCCAGUGCUGCAUCCAGUGCUGUCACUUUGGUAGCUUGCAACCGGCCACGGUGGGAGGGAGUACUUAUCUAGAAAAAACACUACAAAGUCAGGGUUACCCCCACCCCGUCCCCAAGAGCCAGGUUACCAGCACGUGACUUUACAUAAUGGUUGGCUUCCCCCAGAGUAAGCCAAGAAACCUAGGAGGAAGCUGCAAGACUUCUUAGAAUCUAGUCAUGGAUGUCCCCAACGUCACUCUCUUCUCAUUUUAUUGGCCAAACAAUUCCCGGAGGCUGGCUGCGAUUCAAGAGGAUUACCAUCCGUGUCCCGUGGCGGAGUUGCAAAGAAAUUGUACAAUACAGGCUCUGGCACAGGACAGGAUCACCAGACUAAUGAUUGACUGGAUUGAGCAGGUGCGGAUCAACCAUUGCAGAAUCACGCUGGCUGCACCAGAAAGGUGAGCCCCUGAGGGAUUCUUCGGAAAGCAAGACUGGGAUCAACACCGUGCUAUUAACACUCAGCCGACAGAGAGGCGGGCUAGCUUGACAUCGAGGGUGGAUGCGCCAGUGAUGGGCUUCCAGGCACCAAAGCCAGGCCUUACUCCAAAUUCUACAAGCUACUACCAACCUAUCAAGACUAUGUACUGCAGGUUCUAGAGGGCAGAUACUGCAUUUAGUUCAUAGUUGUAUCUCCAAUGCCUACGCCAUGCCUGGCACAUGGCAGGUGACGAGUAACUGUGUAUGGAGUGAAUAAAGCUCCACAGAAUCUUUC